Molecule: ribosomal RNA, 1324 nt
Filed under: metagenome
Description: bacterial LSU rRNA
Rfam family: Bacterial large subunit ribosomal RNA
Source: RNAcentral
AGUGGAUGGGGAGCAACCUAGUUGUGCGUGUGUAAAGGUAGUGCCAAGAAAAGCGAUGAUCAUGUUGAAAAUCAAUUCCCGGUACCCGAAACCGACACAGGUGGGCAAGUAGAGAAUACUAAGGGGCGCGAGGUAACUCUCUCCAAGGAACUCGGCAAAAUGACCCCGUAACUUAGGGAGAAGGGGUGCCACCGAGAGGUGGUCGCAGUGAAGAGGCCCAGGCGACUGUUUAGCAAAAACAUAGGUCUCUGCAAACUCGAAAGAGGAGGUAUAGGGGCUGACGCCUGCCCAGUGCCGGAAGGUUAAAGAAGUUGGUCAGUUUUAGGAUGAAGCUAGCGACUGAAGCCCCGGUGAACGGCGGCCGUAACUAUAACGGUCCUAAGGUAGCGAAAUUCCUUGUCGGGUAAGUUCCGACCCGCACGAAAGGCGUAACGAUCUGGGCGCUGUCUCGGAGAGAGGCUCGGCGAAAUAGGAUUGUCUGUGAGGAUACGGACUACCUGCAUUUGGACAGAAAGACCCUAUGAAGCUUUACUAUAGCUUGGAAUUGUGUUCGGGCUUCCUGUGCGCAGGAUAGGUGGGAGGCGUAGAAGGUAUUCUUGUGGGGAUACUGGAGCCAACGGUGAGAUACCACUCUCAGGAGGCUAGAAUUCUAACUUAAUUAAGGACAGUUUCAGGUGGGUAGUUUGACUGGGGCGGUCGCCUCCAAAAAGGUAACGGAGGCGUACAAAGGUUCCCUCAGACUGGUUGGAAAUCAGUCGAAGAGUGCAAAGGCAGAAGGGAGCUUGACUGCGAGAAGUACAGUUCGAGCAGGGUGGAAACACGGUCUUAGUGAUCCGACGGUGCUGUGUGGAAGGGCCGUCGCUCAACGGAUAAAAGUUACUCUAGGAUAACAGGCUGAUCUCCCCCAAGAGUUCACAUCGACGGGGAGGUUUGGCACCUCGAUGUCGGCUCAUCGCAACCUGGGGCGGAAGUACGUCCCAAGGGUUGGGCUGUUCGCCCAUUAAAGCGGUACGUGAGCUGGGUUCAGAACGUCGUGAGACAGUUCGGUCCAUAUCCGAUGUAGGCGUGAGAAUAUUGAGAGGAGCCUUCCUUAGUACGAGAGGACCGGGAAGGACGCACCGCUGGUGUACCUGUUAUGAUGCCAAUUGUAAACGCAGGGUAGCCAAGUGCGGAGAGGAUAACCGCUGAAAGCAUCUAAGUGGGAAGCCCACCUCAAGAUGAGUAUUCUGGUGUAAGGUCACGGGAAGACGACCCGUAAAUAGGCACGAGGUGGAAGUGCAGAGAUGUAUGAAGCCGAAGUGUACUAAUAGACCGUCGGCUUGAC